This 254-nucleotide ribosomal RNA is filed under the name uncultured bacterium. RNAcentral's name for it is "partial 16S ribosomal RNA". It matches the Rfam family "Bacterial small subunit ribosomal RNA", at positions 524 to 776 of the family's 1533-position model. The record is from RNAcentral.
GACGUAGGGCGCGAGCGUUGUCCGGAUUUACUGGGCGUAAAGGGCGCGUAGGCGGCCACCGCAAGUCGGUUGUGAAAUCUCUGGGCUUAACCCAGAAAGGUCAACCGAUACUGCGGGGCUAGAGUGCAGAAGGGGCAACUGGAAUUCUCGGUGUAGCGGUGAAAUGCGUAGAUAUCGAGAGGAACACCUGCGGCGAAGGCGGGUUGCUGGGCUGACACUGACGCUGAAGCGCGAAAGCUAGGGGAGCGAACGGG